AUACGUAGGGAGCAAGCGUUGUCCGGAAUUACUGGGCGUAAAGGGUGCGUAGGUGGCUGAGUAAGUCAGAUGUGAAAGACCGGGGCUUAACCCCGGGGCUGCAUUUGAAACUGUUUGGCUUGAGUACAGGAGAGGGAAGUGGAAUUCCUAGUGUAGCGGUGAAAUGCGUAGAUAUUAGGAGGAACACCAGUGGCGAAGGCGACUUUCUGGACUGUAACUGACACUGAAGCACGAAAGCGUGGGGAGCAAACAGGAUUAGAUACCCUGGUAGUCCACGCCGUAAACGAUGGAUACUAGGUGUGGGGCCCGAUAGGGUUCCGUGCCGAAGCAAACGCAUUAAGUAUCCCGCCUGGGGAGUACGAUCGCAAGGUUGAA
RNAcentral lists this ribosomal RNA (375 nucleotides) under uncultured Christensenellaceae bacterium. Its description in RNAcentral is "bacterial SSU rRNA". It matches the Rfam family "Bacterial small subunit ribosomal RNA", at positions 523 to 898 of the family's 1533-position model. Lineage: Bacteria; Bacillati; Bacillota; Clostridia; Christensenellales; Christensenellaceae. The record is from RNAcentral.